CCUACGGGUGGCAGCAGUGAGGAAUAUUGGUCAAUGGGCUUACGCCUGAACCAGCCAAGUCGCGUGAGGGAAGACUGCCCUAUGGGUUGUAAACCUCUUUUGUCAGGGAGCAACGCCGGCUACGUGUAGCCGGACUGAGAGUAACUUAAGAAAAAGCAUCGGCUAACUCCGUGCCAGCAGCCGCGGUAAAACGUAGUAGGCGAGCGUUAUCCGGAGUAAUUGGGUUUAAGGGGUGCUAGGGCGGACUGCCAAGUCAGCGGUAAAAUAGCGGGGCUCAACCUCGCUCCGCCGUUGAAACUGGCGUUCUUGAGUGGGCGAGAAGUAUGCGGAAUGCGUGGUGUAGCGGUGAAAUGCAUAGAUAUCACGCAGAACUCCGAUUGCGAAGGCAGCAUACCGGCGCCCAACUGACGCUGAGGCACGAAAGCGUGGGUAUCGAACAGGAUUAGAUACCCCAGUAGUC
This 460-nucleotide ribosomal RNA is filed under the name uncultured bacterium. RNAcentral's name for it is "partial 16S ribosomal RNA". It matches the Rfam family "Bacterial small subunit ribosomal RNA", at positions 338 to 795 of the family's 1533-position model. The record is from RNAcentral.